Molecule: ribosomal RNA, 1062 nt
Filed under: Triticum aestivum (bread wheat)
Lineage: Eukaryota; Viridiplantae; Streptophyta; Magnoliopsida; Poales; Poaceae
Description: partial small subunit ribosomal RNA
Source: RNAcentral
AUGAGGCCGGCGUGGGGCAACCCGAAAGGUUUGCUGUUCCACCCUUCCGGGGACAAUGUUUUUGUUGCUGAAUUUGGCACCCAAGCAGAUAGAGCUCGGGUGAUCGAGGGCUCGCCGUGGAUGGUGGGCAAACAUGUUGUUCUUCUCAAAGUGUUUGAUCAGAACACCCCACCCCUUCAGGUUUAGUUUGACAGCCUUGCCAUCUGGGCUCGGAUCAUGAAUUUGCCGCCAAGGUUGAUGAAAUCAAAGCUGGGAAUGGAGUUUGCCAAGACAAUUGGCCAUGUCUCCAAAGUGGAGGCUGAUUCUGAUGGCCGGUGCUGGGGAGGCUAUAUGAGGGUCAGAGUGGAGAUUGCGGUACAAGAACCGAUUGUUCGGUAUGUGACUGUGACCUCGGCCAGGCUCAAAUCCACAGAUACCUACUCAGUGAUGUACGAGCGUCUUCCUUUUUACUGCUUCUCAUGUGGGCGCCUGGGGCACUCUUCAAUCUUAUGUCCAAGUCCUGGCAUCAGAGAUGACAAUGGGGAGCUCCCUUAUGCUGCUAAGAAACUGUGUGUGGCCGAUGUCACCUCCAGGAAAUCGGGUGGAUCACGAUCUAGUAGUUCAUCAACGUCAGCUGGGGGUGAUGGCAGGGCAGGUGGUGCAAGGUUGUCUUCAUCGAGCCAUGCCAAUCCUAAAGGCCAAGCUAACGUUGCAGAAGUGGAUGGUGAGGUUUCCUCCCCUCCUAAGCGAGGGUCCAGGGGCCGUGGCCGUGGUCCUUCCUCCUGUGGUCGCGGGAGGGGAAGAGGUUCUGUUGAUAAGGAGCUAUUUCCGAAAUCAAAUGAGAAAAUGACAACUACAGGUCAGAAGAGGAAAUCUGCCAAAGCACUUCCUUUGUCCUCGACAUCUGAGCCGAAGCAGGCGGAUGCUAAUGUGUUGGCCCUGGUAGUGGCUCCGGUGUCCAACGCGGCUUGUACUUCCGAAGUUCAGGUCACCGAUGUGGAAUCUAACAAGAAACAACGUGUCUCAAUAUCUCGAUCGGCGGAUCCAGUGGAGGCUGCAGGGCAGCCCCGCCAGACGCAAUGA